RNAcentral lists this ribosomal RNA (251 nucleotides) under uncultured bacterium. Its description in RNAcentral is "partial 16S ribosomal RNA". It matches the Rfam family "Bacterial small subunit ribosomal RNA", at positions 524 to 776 of the family's 1533-position model. The record is from RNAcentral.
UACGUAGGGGGCUAGCGUUGUCCGGAAUCAUUGGCGUAAAGCGCGCGUAGGCGGCCCGGUAAGUCCGCUGUGAAAGUCAAAGGCUCAACCUUUGAAUGUCAGCGGAUACUGCCGGGCUAGAGUCCGGAAGAGGCGAGUGGAACUCCUGGUGUAGCGGUGGAAUGCGCAGAUAUCAGGAGGAACACCAAUUGCGAAGGCAGCUCGCUGGGACGUUACUGACGCUGAGACGCGAAGCGUGGGGAGCAAACAGG